GCCAGACUCCUACGGGAGGCAGCAGUGAGGAAUAUUGGUCAAUGGGAGAGAUCCUGAACCAGCCAAGCCGCGUGAGGGAAGACGGCCCUAUGGGUUGUAAACCUCUUUUGUCGGAGAACAAAACCCGGGACGUGUCCCGGACUGCGUGUAUCCGAAGAAAAAGCAUCGGCUAACUCCGUGCCAGCAGCCGCGGUAAUACGGAGGAUGCGAGCGUUAUCCGGAUUUACCGGGUGUAAAGGGAGCGUAGACGGUUAUGUAAGUCUGGAGUGAAAGCCCGGGGCCCAACCCCGGGACUGCUUUGGAAACCGUGUAACUGGAGUGCAGGAGGGGCAGGCGGAAUUCCUGGUGUAGCGGUGAAAUGCGUAGAUAUCAGGAGGAACACCGGCGGCGAAGGCGGCCUGCUGGACUGAAACUGACGUUGAGGCUCGAAAGCGUGGGGAGCAAACAGGAUUAGAUACCCUUGUAA
RNAcentral lists this ribosomal RNA (466 nucleotides) under uncultured bacterium. RNAcentral's name for it is "bacterial SSU rRNA". It matches the Rfam family "Bacterial small subunit ribosomal RNA", at positions 330 to 793 of the family's 1533-position model. The record is from RNAcentral.